Molecule: microRNA precursor, 92 nt
Filed under: Carlito syrichta (Philippine tarsier)
Lineage: Eukaryota; Metazoa; Chordata; Mammalia; Primates; Tarsiidae
Description: miRNA (ENSTSYG00000033520.1)
Source: RNAcentral
GAGGUGGGAGGAUUGCUUGACUCCAGGAGAUUAAGGCUGCAGUGAGCCAUGAUUGUGCCACUGCACUCCAGCCUGAGUGACAGAGGGAGACC